Molecule: ribosomal RNA, 223 nt
Filed under: uncultured bacterium
Lineage: Bacteria
Description: partial 16S ribosomal RNA
Rfam family: Bacterial small subunit ribosomal RNA
Source: RNAcentral
UACGUAGGGGGCAAGCGUUGUCCGGAUUUACUGGGCGUAAAGAGCGUGUAGGCGGCCAAGCAGGUCCGUUGUGAAAACUGGAGGCUUAACCUCCAGACGUCGACGGAAACCGCGUGGCUAGAGUCCGGAAGAGGAGAGUGGAAUUCCUGGUGUAGCGGUGAAAUGCGCAGAUAUCAGGAGGAACACCAUGGCGAAGGCAGCACUCGUGGAACGUCGACUGACG